AAUCAACGCUGGCGGCAUGCCUAACACAUGCAAGUCGAGCGAGAAAGUGUAGCAAUACAUGAGUAAAGCGGCGCACGGGUGAGUAACACGUGGAUAACCUGCCUCAAAGUGGGGAAUAACACCGGGAAACCGGUGCUAAUACCGCAUAUUCUGAUGAAGUCUGCGGAUUUUUGUCAGUAAAGGAGCAAUUCGCUAUGAGAGGGGUCCGCGGCUGAUUAGCUAGUUGGUGAGGUAAUGGCUCACCAAGGCAACGAUCAGUAGCCGGUCUGAGAGGACGGUCGGCCACACUGGAACUGAGACACGGUCCAGACUCCUACGGGAGGCAGCAGUGGGGAAUUUUUCGCAAUGGGGAAACCCUGACGAAGCAAUGCCGCGUGGAUGAUG
Molecule: ribosomal RNA, 384 nt
Filed under: uncultured bacterium
Lineage: Bacteria
Description: bacterial SSU rRNA
Rfam family: Bacterial small subunit ribosomal RNA
Source: RNAcentral